This 113-nucleotide small nucleolar RNA is filed under the name Glycine max (soybean). RNAcentral describes it as "Small nucleolar RNA snoR99". It matches the Rfam family "Small nucleolar RNA snoR99". The record is from Rfam by way of RNAcentral. Lineage: Eukaryota; Viridiplantae; Streptophyta; Magnoliopsida; Fabales; Fabaceae.
UUGCUCUAGGCUAGGGAUGAAUGUGUCCCUCACAUAUAAUGCUUCCUUCCGAUUCACCUUGUCAGCUUUGUUUUUUUUUAAUGUUUUGCUGAUCAUUGUAGGAUGGAAUAUCU